Molecule: ribosomal RNA, 250 nt
Filed under: uncultured bacterium
Lineage: Bacteria
Description: partial 16S ribosomal RNA
Rfam family: Bacterial small subunit ribosomal RNA
Source: RNAcentral
UACGUAGGGGGCGAGCGUUGUCCGGAUUUACUGGGCGUAAAGCGCGUGUAGGUGGUAGUGUCAAGUCGGUUGUGAAAACUGCAGGGCUCAACCCGCAGCCUGCAUCCGAAACUGCGCAACUAGAGGAACGAAGAGGGAAGUAGAAUUACUGGUGUAGCGGUGAUAUGCGUUGAUAUCAGUAGGAAUACCCGUGGCGAAGGCGGCUUCCUGGUCGUUUCCUGACACUGAGACGCGAAAGCAGGGGGAGCAA